CCAACGUUAACGUGAAGAUUAAGUUAAAGUUAGCUCAAGUUGAAUGCAUUCAAUUUAGAUUUAAAUUACUACUUGCCUUUAACGAAUUUUGUUUCACAAUAAAUUCAUAUUAACUCAAUGACAGUGAGCCUUUGGUAAGUGCUAAAGUUGACCACAUAUUAUAUAUUAUGAAUACCUACCUACCUAAUAAUUAACAACAGAAUAAUUUGUUUGAUAAAUGAAUAACAUGAUUCGUUUCAUCAAAGCUCAUCAAAAGAAAACAUCACUAUACUGAAUUGACUAGUGUUUCAAAUUCCACGGAUUAUCUACAAUAAUAUUCAAUAUUCCAUUUCAUCUAUACACCUACAUCAUUUAAAUCUUCUCCUGGUUCUCCGGCAUUAGUAAAACACAAGACAAAUAUAAACCUAUGCAAUUAACAGUUGAGGUAAGUGUACUUAUAUAGUUGAUCUAUAUAUAAAACUUAAUAUAAAAAUUAUAUUAUUAUUUACUAUAAUAAUAUUAUAUAGACUACUUCAAUUCCUGCUCAGUACCAACAAUGGUAGAUUUAUAUUCAUAGACACAAAAAUUAAAUGGGGGUACUUAUCUUAACCCAUCUUAUAAUUAAUUAUUUAUUUUAAGAGAAAAACAAAUAUGUGCCUACCUUAAUCUAAAUCCAAUACUUUUUCUAUUAACUAGUCAUGGCUACUUAGACAUUAGAAAUUAGUUUAUUUAAAUUAAAAAAGUAGGCAAACAAAUUGUUCAUAAAUAAGAUAACCUAUAUUAAUAUUUAAUUUGUAUUUUUUUUAUGUUAAUGUAUUUUAUAUAUAUUUUUUUUUAAUUUAUUUAAUAAAGUGAAUUAAAUUAAAAAGAUUAGUUAAGACUUAUGUGGUACUGAGAAAAAGGGGAAUAAUGUUCUUACUUUUUCACACAUAUAAUUGUUUAAUACUAAUAAUUAAAAGUAGUAAACAAUUAAAUGUUGGAAAAAUAUUAUUCAGUUAAUAGAUGUUUAUACAUCAACAUUAGUUAUGUAAAUUUACAGAUGUAUAUUAUUCUACAAUGUAUAUAUUUAAUUAAAUUGUAUAUUUAUUAGGCUUGUAUCUAUUAUUAUCUAUUCUAUUUAAGUUAUACUUUUUUUUUUAAAUAAUACUUUAGAUUGCCGAAGAUUUUAAGAUUGGUUAUUCUCAAGUUAAUAUAAACUGGAACACAUUUCUUCAUAAUUGGACAAAUUUUACCAACAUUGUUAAACUUAAGAUGAGGUUCAGUAAAGGAUAAACAUGAUUGUGGUCUUAUAUUCAAACAUUAUUCUGCCAAGUGAAUAGAAGUGAU
Cinara cedri is the source of this 1305-nucleotide non-coding RNA. NCBI's taxonomy places the organism in Eukaryota, Metazoa, Arthropoda, Insecta, Hemiptera, Aphididae. The record is from the annotation of a GenBank genome assembly.